RNAcentral lists this ribosomal RNA (460 nucleotides) under uncultured bacterium. RNAcentral describes it as "partial 16S ribosomal RNA". It matches the Rfam family "Bacterial small subunit ribosomal RNA", at positions 338 to 795 of the family's 1533-position model. The record is from RNAcentral.
CCUACGGGAGGCAGCAGUGAGGAAUAUUGGUCAAUGGACGAGAGUCUGAACCAGCCAAGUAGCGUGAAGGAUGACUGCCCUAUGGGUUGUAAACUUCUUUUAUAAAGGAAUAAAACGAGGCACGUGUGCCUUUUUGCAUGUACUUUAUGAAUAAGGAUCGGCUAACUCCGUGCCAGCAGCCGCGGUAAUACGGAGGAUCCGAGCGUUAUCCGGAUUUAUUGGGUUUAAAGGGAGCGUAGAUGGGUUGUUAAGUCAGUUGUGAAAGUUUGCGGCUUAACCGUAAAAUUGCAAUUGAUACUGGAAGUCUUGAGUACAGUUGAGGUAGGCGGAAUUCGUGGUGUAGCGGUGAAAUGCUUAGAUAUCACGAAGAACCCCGAUUGCGAAGGCAGCUUACUAGACUGUGACUGACAUUGAUGCUCGAAAGUGUGGGUAUCAAACAGGAUUAGAUACCCGAGUAGUC